GUUUUUGUAGUUUAAAUAAAACAUUGGUCUUGUAAACCAAAAUAGAGUAAUAUUACUCCUUAAACU
RNAcentral lists this transfer RNA (66 nucleotides) under Somatochlora hineana. RNAcentral's name for it is "tRNA-Thr". It matches the Rfam family "tRNA". From Rfam's summary of the family: Transfer RNA (tRNA) molecules are approximately 80 nucleotides in length. Their secondary structure includes four short double-helical elements and three loops (D, anti-codon, and T loops). The record is from RNAcentral. Lineage: Eukaryota; Metazoa; Arthropoda; Insecta; Odonata; Corduliidae.